AGUGAACGCUGGCGGUAGGCCUAACACAUGCAAGUCGAACGGCAGCACAGUAAGAGCUUGCUCUUACGGGUGGCGAGUGGCGGACGGGUGAGGAAUACAUCGGAAUCUACUUUUUCGUGGGGGAUAACGUAGGGACACUUACGCUAAUACCGCAUACGACCUACGGGUGAAAGCAGGGGAUCUUCGGACCUUGCGCGAUUGAAUGAGCCGAUGUCGGAUUAGCUAGUUGGCGGGGUAAAGGCCCACCAAGGCGACGAUCCGUAGCUGGUCUGAGAGGAUGAUCAGCCACACUGGAACUGAGACACGGUCCAGACUCCUACGGGAGGCAGCAGUGGGGAAUAUUGGACAAUGGGCGCAAGCCUGAUCCAGCCAUGCCGCGUGGGUGAAGAAGGCCUUCGGGUUGUAAAGCCCUUUUAUUGGGAAAGAAAAGCAGCAGGUUAAUACCCCGCUGUUCUGACGGUACCCAAAGAAUAAGCACCGGCUAACUUCGUG
Molecule: ribosomal RNA, 492 nt
Filed under: uncultured bacterium
Lineage: Bacteria
Description: partial 16S ribosomal RNA
Rfam family: Bacterial small subunit ribosomal RNA
Source: RNAcentral